This 1841-nucleotide long non-coding RNA is filed under the name Mytilus galloprovincialis (Mediterranean mussel). The record is from RNAcentral. Lineage: Eukaryota; Metazoa; Mollusca; Bivalvia; Mytilida; Mytilidae.
GACCUACAUUCACUAUUAAGGUAACAUUUACCAUCUUAUGAGAUAAACAUAAAAAGCUAUGACUGAAAUUAAAUUUGUAAUAACCUAAAUACAGUUAUCACUAGUAUAUUGUAUCAAGCUAUGACAUUACCUUGCACUUUGUAAAUACAUGUGUUUCACAAACCACGCCUCUUUUGGGAUAUAUACUAUUGCUAGAUGUUUUGUUUACCAACUGGUUUCCAUAUAUGAUAUGUAUGUUGCAUCUCAAAGGAACACAACUUGCGAACUUUACCAGUAUGAAUGCACAUAGAUAGUGGCCAAAUUGAAUAUGAGAAGGACCAAAUGUUAAGUAAGAGGAAGUACAUACUUUCAGUAUAGGUUUAAAUUCUUGGAAGUUAGAGGCAUAUAUGUAGGACUCAAAUCUAUGGCGGGUUCCAAAUCUAUGGCAGAUUCCUAAUCUAUGGCAAAUAUGACGUUACAAACGCCAAACAACUCAAAUCUAUGGCAGAUUUUUGUUUUCUCCAAAUCUAUGGCAGAUUUAGAAAUUGCGUAAUUUUCCGGGAAAAGAGUAAAAUAUAACGUCACAAUAAAAUAACGCUGACUUCAGCAAAGUUGUUGGCUCUCCAAACUUUCCUGAAGUACUGUGUUUAAAAAACGCAGGAAAACAAACUUUCCGCUUUUCCCCUAGAACAAUUUGCAGAUGUGAUGUUUUAUCCAUAGGAGGAACAAUAUUUAAGUGAUAUACCGUCCGAAUCCCACGAUCAAGAAAGGCACAGCUGCUUUUAGAAGUGGAUAUUUUGGGAAAGUAGUUAUAGUAAACAUCUUAAAUGUAGCGUGUACGGCUGGGAAAGUAUUCAAAGUGAGAAAAUGAAAUUACAAAUCGUCAACAGUUAAAAAAAGAUUGAUUAAAGCUGAAAUAAAUAUUAUGUGAAAAGUCAAACUGUUAUUUUUUUUCUGAUUUCUGUAUUAUAGGAUUCUAUGGUUGACAUUACAAUUUGGUUGGCCAUUAUGUAAUUUGUAUUUCCCAAAUGAUUAUAGACAUGCUCCCGUUUACGUACAUUUCAACUUAUUUAAGACAAGUCGUUGAUUGUAUAUAUAUGUACUGCCUAGUUGUACCUUUGCACAAAAUCUGCCAUCGAUUUGGAAACAACAAACAUCCGCCAUAGAUUAGGAAACUACAAAACUUGCCAUAGAUUAGGAUUUUUUUUUAAAUCUGCCAUAGAUUUGGGAUAGCAUGACGUCACAUCUACCAUAGAUUAGGAAUCUGCCAUAGAUCUGGAACCCACCAUAGAUUUGAGUCCUACAUAUAUUUUAUAUUUAUACCUGUCAACCUCUGAAACCUUCACAAAGAGGGAGAUCUGCCCCUCAGCUAUGACAGCUGAGUGGGAUAUUUUGCGCUAACGACAUUUCAUAUGACCUGUUUAUUUAUUCAUCUACAAAACAAAUAUAAGAGUUAAUAGAUACACUUAAUUUCUUUAUAUAAGGUUAUAUCUUAUACUAGUUGUGUAGUUUGUUUCUUUACUUUUUUUUUUUUAUAAGAUUUGACAUAUGCCUCCCAAUCAGGACACCUUUGUAAUAAGUUAUCUCUAUUUCAAUUUUUCCAUAUUGUCAUAGAUGGUGCAUUAUGUGUAUGCACAUUCACUUUUCAUUAAUUUUGGUUCAAUACAUUUCUUAUAAAUUUCAUUUCAAACAUUUAAUAGAAGUAUAAUUCUUUAAAGUGAUUUUUAAAAUAUUAUAUGAUGUUGUGUGCUAAGGCAUACAAAUUUAUUUAAGGUGGUACCUAACACUACAGGGAAAUAACUCUGUAAAAUCAGCUAAACGUUUUAAUUACGUUGCGUUGUUAAGGGAAUAUUAAGCUUUUC